UAACGCGUGGGUAACCUGCCUCAUACAGGGGGAUAACAGUUGGAAACGACUGCUAAUACCGCAUAAGCACACAGUGCCGCAUGGUACGGUGUGAAAAACUCCGGUGGUAUGAGAUGGACCCGCGUCUGAUUAGGUAGUAGGUGAGGUAACGGCCCACCAAGCCGACGAUCAGUAGCCGACCUGAGAGGGUGACCGGCCACAUUGGGACUGAGACACGGCCCAAACUCCUACGGGAGGCAGCAGUGGGGAAUAUUGGACAAUGGGGGAAACCCUGAUCCAGCGACGCCGCGUGAGUGAAGAAGUGUUUCGGCAUGUAAAGCUCUAUCAGCAGGGAAGAAAAUGACGGUACCUGACUAAGAAGCCCCGGCUAACUACGUGCCAGCAGCCGCGGGUAAUACGUAGGGGGGCAAGCGUUAUCCGGAUUUACUGGGUGUAAAGGGAGCGUAGACGGCGAUGCAAGUCUGGAGUGAAAGCCCGGGGCUCAACCCCGGGGACUGCUUUGGAAACUGUGUUGCUAGAGUGCAGGAGAGGUAAGUGGAAUUCCUAGUGUAGCGGUGAAAUGCGUAGAUAUUAGGAGGAACACCAGUGGCGAAGGCGGCUUACUGGACUGUAACUGACGUUGAGGCUCGAAAGCGUGGGGAGCAAACAGGAUUAGAUACCCCUGGUAGUCCACGCCGUAAACGAUGAAUACUAAGGUGUUGGGGAGCAAAGCUCUUCCGGUGCCGCCGCUAACGCAAUAAGUAUUCCACCUGGGGGAGUACGUUCGCAAGAAUGAAACUCAAAGGAAUUGACGGGGACCCGCACAAGCGGUGGAGCAUGUGGUUUAAUUCGAAGCAACGCGAAGAACCUUACCAAGUCUUGACAUCGGAAUGACCGGUCCGUAACGGGGCCUUCCCUUCGGGGCAUUCCAGACAGGUGGUGCAUGGUUGUCGUCAGCUCGUGUCGUGAGAUGUUGGGUUAAGUCCCGCAACGAGCGCAACCCUUAUCCUUAGUAGCCAGCAAGUCAAGUUGGGCACUCUGGGGAGACUGCCAGGGAUAACCUGGAGGAAGGUGGGGAUGACGUCAAAUCAUCAUGCCCCUUAUGAUUUGGGCUACACACGUGCUACAAUGGCGUAAACAAAGGGAAGCAAAGGAGUGAUCCGGAGCAAACCCCAAAAAUAACGUCUCAGUUCGGAUUGUAGUCUGCAACUCGACUACAUGAAGCUGGAAUCGCUAGUAAUCGCGGAUCAGAAUGCCGC
Molecule: ribosomal RNA, 1238 nt
Filed under: Clostridium sp. NS17-B1
Lineage: Bacteria; Bacillati; Bacillota; Clostridia; Eubacteriales; Clostridiaceae
Description: bacterial SSU rRNA
Rfam family: Bacterial small subunit ribosomal RNA
Source: RNAcentral